UUUGAGAUGACACCCUUGCCCUCACUCAGAUGGUCAUUUGGUGAUGAAAACCUUGCUACUUACACUCAGCUGGUGAGCCAAA
Molecule: small nucleolar RNA, 82 nt
Filed under: Echinops telfairi (small Madagascar hedgehog)
Lineage: Eukaryota; Metazoa; Chordata; Mammalia; Afrosoricida; Tenrecidae
Description: Small nucleolar RNA SNORD103/SNORD85 (ENSETEG00000024590.1)
Source: RNAcentral